RNAcentral lists this ribosomal RNA (551 nucleotides) under Acanthopagrus latus (yellowfin seabream). Its description in RNAcentral is "partial 16S ribosomal RNA". It matches the Rfam family "Bacterial large subunit ribosomal RNA", at positions 1817 to 2571 of the family's 2925-position model. The record is from RNAcentral. Lineage: Eukaryota; Metazoa; Chordata; Actinopteri; Spariformes; Sparidae.
CGCCUCUUGCAAAAUAAAUGAAUAAGAGGUCCCGCCUGCCCUGUGACUAUAUGUUCAACGGCCGCGGUAUUUUGACCGUGCGAAGGUAGCGCAAUCACUUGUCUUUUAAAUGAAGACCUGUAUGAAUGGCAUCACGAGGGCUUAGCUGUCUCCCCCUCCCAGUCAAUGAAAUUGAUUUUCCCGUGCAGAAGCGGGAAUAAGAACAUAAGACGAGAAGACCCUAUGGAGCUUAAGACGCCAGGACAGCUCAUGUUAAACACCCCAGAACAAAGGGAAUAAACUUAGUGAAAUCCUGCCCUAGUGUCUUUGGUUGGGGCGACCACGGGGAAAAACUUAACCCCCAUGCGGAAUAGGAAUACUAUUUUCCUAGACUCAAGAGCUCCCGCUCUAAUAGACAGAAUUUCUGACCAAAAGGAUCCGGCAAUGCCGAUCAACGGACCGAGUUACCCUAGGGAUAACAGCGCAAUCCUCUUUAAGAGUCCCUAUCGACAAGAGGGUUUACGACCUCGAUGUUGGAUCAGGACAUCCUAAUGGUGCAGCCGCUAUAAGGG